AACCACCAUGAGAGCAUGAGAGCCUCACUGGUCUUGUUACUGAUGGGUUUGGCCUCCUCAUGGAGGAGCAGAAGGCCAUGUGUGUCCUGGGCCUGCUGAACAGAGUGGCCCUGGACCUCCUUCUUGAAAAGAAAGGGGGGUUUGCCCUCUCAUAGGUGAUCAGCACUG
Molecule: long non-coding RNA, 168 nt
Organism: Salarias fasciatus (jewelled blenny)
Lineage: Eukaryota; Metazoa; Chordata; Actinopteri; Blenniiformes; Blenniidae
Exons: 3
Source: RefSeq, a predicted model, not a curated record